Molecule: long non-coding RNA, 838 nt
Filed under: Ananas comosus (pineapple)
Lineage: Eukaryota; Viridiplantae; Streptophyta; Magnoliopsida; Poales; Bromeliaceae
Description: long non-coding RNA (ACOM_LNC020352)
Source: RNAcentral
AUUUGGAAUAUAUAUAUAUAAUAGCACAAAAUCAUUGGUGCUAUCAGGUUUUCGACUCUUGGAUGAUGGGAUGUGUGGUUAGGAUGAUAGUGAUCCACUAGAGUUGAGUAGAUAGUUGGUUGAAUAGUAUGAUCUUACAGGUAAAAAUGAUUAAAGGGGUAGAUCUAAUGGUAGAAAAUUUAAUAACAUCAAGAACUCAGUACUAUCGAUAGUAUAGUAACUGAACUCUCUCUCUCUCCCUCUCUCUCUCUCUCUCUAUAUAUAUAUGUGUGUAUAAAACUAAGCUACUGUGCUAUUAAUAGCACCAAGUCAUUAGUGCUAUUAGGUUUAAUUUCGGCCCUUGGAUGAAGGGAUGUACGGUUAGGAUGAUAGUGGUUUCCUAGAGUUGAGUGGAUGAUUAGUUGAAUAGUAUGAUCUAACGAGUAAAAAUAAUCAAAAGAGUAAAUUUAACGGUGGAAAAUUUGGUAGUACCAAGCACUUAGUGCUAUUGAUAGUAUAAUAGCCUAACUAUAUAUAAGUAUUCCAGCCUAAUUUUAUCUAUAUCUAUACUAUAUAUAAAAGCGUAUAGGAAUUCCGACAAUAACAGACGGAAUCCAAAAAGGAAUAAAAUAAUAUUCCCUACGAAUGAUUAUGAUUAAUUUGUUAAAAUAUCUCAAAUAAAAAUUAACGGUUAUGAUCAAUCUAUUAAAUAUAAAAUAAUAUUUCCUACGAAUGAUUAUGAUUAAUUUGUUAAAAAUAUGUUAAAUAAAAACGAACGGUUAUGAUCAAUCUAUUAAAUUUCUACUACAUAUAAAAAUCUAUUCCCUAUAAUAUGAUCAAUUUGUUAAAAAAAUAUCUN